Octodon degus (degu) is the source of this 679-nucleotide long non-coding RNA. RefSeq lists it as uncharacterized. The record is from RefSeq and is a predicted model, not a curated record. The transcript has 4 exons. NCBI's taxonomy places the organism in Eukaryota, Metazoa, Chordata, Mammalia, Rodentia, Octodontidae.
UAGGACAACCAGCUUGCUCGCAGAGGGGAGUGGUGCUGGCCUUGUCCCGGCGGAACUCGGCUGCAGGAAUGGGGAUGCUGGCGCCAGGACCGCGCUGGCCCAGGGUCCAGAGGGGUGAAAGAGAGGGCCGGAAAGCCCAAGGAUGAAGAGCGGCACAAAAGAGGGCAAGAUGUCUGAGGUGUCACAGCUAUGUAUUGAAGACUUCUUUGUGGUAGACACUUUUGGCAUCAGCUAUGCUACUGUGAAGGCAAAGUUCUUGCCCUAACAGAUCACACUGAGAAGAAAAGACAAUCAUGGCUAACAUUACUGGAAUAACAGACUUCUGGCAAUGACUGAAACACCAUCUUACAAAGAAGACCCAAUGACCCAGUCAAGCUUUUGUGUAAAAGUAAUUAUGAUUAAGGAAUGCAGAGGUACUCACAGCGCUUACCAAAGAUGAAUGCUAAUCCUGCUGGCCAUUCUUCAAAAGAGGGUUGUAUGUUUAAAGAAUUUUGAAAGCACCCAGGAAUUCACAAUCCACACUCAGAAGAAGGGUUGAAAAUCAUCUGAUUUGUGAGAGUCAAUCUAUAAGGCAGGAAAUCAUCACUGUUUGACCUUAUAAAUAAAGGUGCAGAGAAUAUUUUUUCUGAAAAACUUUAAGCACAGCCAGGCUUGAUGGUGCAUACCUAUAAUCCCCAGC